UGCGGAAUUUUAGAUAAUGGCGGGAACUCUGAUCUAGCGACGCCGCGUGCAGGAAGAAGGUCUUCGGAUUGCAAACUGCUGUGGUAAGGGAAAAAUGCUAUGUAGAGUGGAAAGCUACAUAGAGGGAUGGUACCUUACUAGAAAGCCCCGGCUAACUACGUGCCAGCAGCCGCGGUAAUACGUAGGGGGCGAGCGUUACCCGGAAUCACUGGGCGUAAAGGGAGCGUAGGUGGCCUAACAUGUCAACUGUGAAAACCCGGAGC
Molecule: ribosomal RNA, 263 nt
Filed under: uncultured bacterium
Lineage: Bacteria
Description: partial 16S ribosomal RNA
Rfam family: Bacterial small subunit ribosomal RNA
Source: RNAcentral